UCUCCGCCAGUCAACAUGCUGAGGUGGUUCUGCUCCAUGUUUGUAGUUCUGGACCUUCUAUCAGGUGUCUGUGUUGGACGACUGACUCCAGCCAUGGUCCAAGAGUCAUAUGAAGAAGGCAGAGCUGUCACUCUGUCCUGCACCAUCUCUCCACGUGCUACAUCCGUGGAACUCCUCUCCUGGUACCGACAGCACCCUGGAGGAUCACUGGAUCUCCUGACAGCUUACUUUCAGGAUGGUGGAACAGUUAAAGCUCCAGUGUCUGGCCUGGCUGCUGGUGCGAAAGAUGAUGGAAGCCAGAUGGAGCUGAAGAUCGAGUCUGCUGCAGUGACGGACUCUGCUGUCUACUUCUGUGCUCUGCAGCCCACAGUGACAACAAACACACACUCAGCUGUACAAUAACCUCCCUCUCUCUCACUCCUCCAUCAGGGGGCGACACAUGGAAAGAAAAGAAACAUGACUGUGUGUAUAGUGUGA
This is a non-coding RNA of Synchiropus splendidus (mandarinfish), 477 nucleotides long. NCBI's taxonomy places the organism in Eukaryota, Metazoa, Chordata, Actinopteri, Syngnathiformes, Callionymidae. The record is from the annotation of a RefSeq genome assembly.